AACGAACGCUGGCGGCAUGCCUAACACAUGCAAGUCGAACGAUGCCUUCGGGCAUAGUGGCGCACGGGUGCGUAACGCGUGGGAAUCUGCCUUUCGGUUCGGAAUAACUCAGAGAAACUUGAGCUAAUACCGGAUAACGUCGCAAGACCAAAGAUUUAUCACCGAAAGAUGAGCCCGCGUAGGAUUAGCUAGUUGGUGAGGUAAAGGCUCACCAAGGCGACGAUCCUUAGCUGGUCUGAGAGGAUGAUCAGCCACACUGGGACUGAGACACGGCCCAGACUCCUACGGGAGGCAGCAGUGGGGAAUAUUGGACAAUGGGCGAAAGCCUGAUCCAGCAAUGCCGCGUGAGUGAUGAAGGCCUUAGGGUUGCAAAGCUCUUUUACCCGGGAAGAUAAUGACGGUACCGGGAGAAUAAGCCCCGGCUAACUCCGUG
Molecule: ribosomal RNA, 433 nt
Filed under: uncultured bacterium
Lineage: Bacteria
Description: partial 16S ribosomal RNA
Rfam family: Bacterial small subunit ribosomal RNA
Source: RNAcentral